ACAGAGGUGGCAAGCGUUGUUCGGAAUUACUGGGCGUAAAGGGCGCGUAGGCGGCCCGCCAAGUCCCGUGUGAAAUCCCCCGGCUCAACCGGGGAACGGCGCGGGAAACUAGCAGGCUUGAGUUCGGGAGAGGGAAGCGGAAUUCCGGGUGUAGCGGUGAAAUGCGCAGAUAUCCGGAGGAACACCGGUGGCGAAGGCGGCUUCCUGGACCGACACUGACGCUGAGGCGCGAAAGCUAGGGGAGCAAACGGGAUUAGAUACCCCGGUAGUCCUAGCCCUAAACGAUGAGAACUGGGUGUAGAGGGUAUGAACCCCUUCUGUGCCGAAGCUAACGCAUUAAGUUCUCCGCCUGGGGAGUACGGUCGCAAGGCUG
This 373-nucleotide ribosomal RNA is filed under the name uncultured bacterium. RNAcentral's name for it is "bacterial SSU rRNA". It matches the Rfam family "Bacterial small subunit ribosomal RNA", at positions 525 to 896 of the family's 1533-position model. The record is from RNAcentral.